UUCCAGUGGCUUCUCCCCCCUCUGGCUCAGAGGCCCAGGAAAGAGAGAGAAGACCAACCAAGGGGUGGCUGGAGUCCCAAGGCCAUGAACUUUCAGGAAAAUGUGACCCUGGCCAUGGCCUUGUUCACCAUCCUGACCUCCAUCUAUUUCUUCAACAAGGCUCAGCAGUGAGAAGACACAGGACCUCCCCGCACAAGAGCCCUGCCUCUCCCUCUGCCAUCGCUCUGAGGCCAGAUAAAUGUAACUGAAUCCGCACAUCCUGCUCCGCCGACCCACUGCCCUUGCGCCCGGCCUCGGGCCUACACCACACCUGGGGCUCUGUGUUUCAGAAGGGAGUGGGGUGGGGGUCCGGACUCCAGGGUCUGAGGAGAGGCAGAGAAUAUCAUUGCAGGAUCCUGCUUUUUAAAAAAUGCUCCAUGCCAAGGGCAGCGGCUCACACAUGUAAUCUCAACACUUCGGGAGGCUGAAGCAGAAAGAUUGCUUGAGGCCAGGAAUUCAAGACCAGCCUGGGCAACAUAGCAAGAUUCUGUCUCUACAAAAAAAAAUUUAAUGAGGGCAUGAUGGCACAUGCCUGUCGUCCCAGCUACUUGGGAGGCUGAGGCAGGAGGAUUGCUCGAGGCUGCAGGGAGCUAUGACCAUGCCACUCUACUCCCGCCUGGUCAACAAAGCAAGAACCUGACUCAAAAAAAAAA
This 692-nucleotide long non-coding RNA is filed under the name Homo sapiens (human). RNAcentral describes it as "HSALNT0398503". Lineage: Eukaryota; Metazoa; Chordata; Mammalia; Primates; Hominidae. The record is from RNAcentral.